AUUUUAGCCAUUCAUAGCAAUUUAAGCGACCGUGCUAGAACUACGGGAUCCGAGGGUGCCUAACAUUUUCCUUCGGAUCAACAGAAUUCCUUAUUCAGAAUUUCUGGUUCGCAGACUCCAAUUGGGAAGUCGAAGUUUUCCUCGGUUCGGGAUUCAAGAUAAGUUGGUGACGUGGAACACAAAAAUCCAAAUUUAUCCCAAGUGGCGACUCUGAAUAAAUAAAUAAUUCCGAUCCGGAUAAUGUCACUAUAAAUGGAAAAACUCCCUUAUACAUUAUCCUUCGGGGUAAGGUGUGUAAAAAAGAAGGUGUGACAGCUUUGGCGACUCUGCUGGGGAAAAGAACCCAGAACAUUUUGUUUAGGGUUCAGAAUUCGAGCUUAGAUAAAUUGUUGUAUUUGGUUAUAUCUGAUUUUUGUACAUGCUACAUUCUUAAUGUGCUAAUUGUUACCGCUUUGAUAUUAUUUGAACUGUAUAUAAAUUGUGCCGACACCCUUCUCUUUUUACCUCCAGGGAUGUGCUUACUGGUUGAGACUCCCUAUUCUGUUAGUAUCAUACCCUGAAAUAAGAAAGAGGCCUGAUAAGUUACUAAGCCGCCUGACCCCGUAGGUCACCGGUAAGUUUCCCCCUCCUCAAUUCGAGUUGUCCGCUCUGGUACACUGUCUAGAACACCGACCCGGAUUUUGAACAUAGAAUAACUUGACUUCAUGCGGGAUCCCUAGUAGGAAAGCUUAUUUGCAUCAUGCCGCAUUUGACUUAGGGGACUCAACACAGGGGUUGGGUCCGUCUAGGGCUAGCAACCUGAAAUAAAAAGACCAUCCUGGUGCAUCCUACUUUUAUUUGCAUCAUGCCGCAUUUGACUUAGGGGACUCAACACAGGGGUUGGGUCCGUCUAGGGCUAGCAACCUGAAAUAAAAAGACAAUCCUGGUGCAUCCUACUUGUUCUGUGCAUUUAUUUUUUUGAACAUGCAUGUUGACCGACUUUUGGAAUGUCGGAAUUUGAGAAAAAUCAAAAAUAGAGAAAAUGAGGGAAAUAGCAGUUAGGAAGCUAAUAUUUGGAUAAAAUCUGAUAACCGCGUACUGUCGAAACUCUGCCGAAAUUUUGAAUAGAAACAAUGAAAAGG
RNAcentral lists this long non-coding RNA (1121 nucleotides) under Nicotiana benthamiana. RNAcentral describes it as "long non-coding RNA (NBEN_LNC034220)". Lineage: Eukaryota; Viridiplantae; Streptophyta; Magnoliopsida; Solanales; Solanaceae. The record is from RNAcentral.